CACAUGGCCGGUCUGGUCGGGGCGGCCCGGCUGCUGGCCGGGCAGCGGGACGAGCUGCCCGGGACGGUGGUGUUCAUGUUCCAGCCGGGUGA
Molecule: transfer RNA, 92 nt
Filed under: Actinoplanes couchii
Lineage: Bacteria; Bacillati; Actinomycetota; Actinomycetes; Micromonosporales; Micromonosporaceae
Description: tRNA-Ser
Source: RNAcentral